Molecule: ribosomal RNA, 405 nt
Filed under: uncultured bacterium
Lineage: Bacteria
Description: partial 16S ribosomal RNA
Rfam family: Bacterial small subunit ribosomal RNA
Source: RNAcentral
AUUGAACGCUGGCGGCAGGCUUAACACAUGCAAGUCGAGCGAGCGGCGGACGGGUGAGUAAUGUCUGGGAAACUGCCUGAUGGAGGGGGAUAACUACUGGAAACGGUAGCUAAUACCGCAUACCAUCAGAUGUGCCCAGAUGGGAUUAGCUAGUAGGUGGGGUAAGGGCUCACCUAGGCGACGAUCCCUAGCUGGUCUGAGAGGAUGACCAGCCACGCUGGAACGGAAACAGGUUCCAGAUGCCUACGGGAGGCAGCAGGGGGGAAAUUUGCACAAUGGGGGAAAGCCUGAGGCGGCCAUGCCGCGUGUGUGAAGAGGGCCUUCGGGUUGUAAAGCACUUUCAGCGAGGAGGCGUUACUCGCAGAAGAAGCACCGGCUAACUCCGGGCCAGCCGCCGGGUAAUAC